Molecule: ribosomal RNA, 497 nt
Filed under: uncultured bacterium
Lineage: Bacteria
Description: partial 16S ribosomal RNA
Rfam family: Bacterial small subunit ribosomal RNA
Source: RNAcentral
AUUGAACGCUGGCGGCAUGCCUUACACAUGCAAGUCGAACGGUAACAGGUCUUCGGAUGCUGACGAGUGGCGAACGGGUGAGUAAUACAUCGGAACGUGCCUAGUAGUGGGGGAUAACUACUCGAAAGAGUGGCUAAUACCGCAUGAGAUCUACGGAUGAAAGCAGGGGAUCGCAAGAACUUGUGCUACUAGAGCGGCCGAUGGCAGAUUAGGUAGUUGGUGGGAUAAAAGCUACCAAGCCGACGAUCUGUAGCUGGUCUGAGAGGACGAUCAGCCACACUGGGACUGAGCCACGGCGCAGACUCCUACGGGAGGCAGCAGUGGGGAAUUUUGGACAAUGGGCGAAAGCCUGAUCCAGCAAUGCCGCGUGCAGGAUGAAGGCCUUCGGGUUGUAAACUGCUUUUGUACGGAACGAAAAGCCCCGGGUUAAUACCCUGGGGUCAUGACGGUACCGUAAGAAUAAGCACCGGCUAACUACGUGCCAGCCGCCGCGGUAA